Long non-coding RNA from Lingula anatina, 239 nucleotides. The record is from RefSeq and is a predicted model, not a curated record. NCBI's taxonomy places the organism in Eukaryota, Metazoa, Brachiopoda, Lingulata, Lingulida, Lingulidae.
GAAGCAACUACAUACGAUCCCUGCUAUAACAAUCCGUGUCAGAAUGGUGGAACGUGUCACCCAAAGACAAUCCCUUACUGGCCGUACCAAUUCGUAAAAUACAUCUGUCAGUGCGACUCUAACCACUAUGGACAAGAAUGCCAGCACAAUGCACUAGGUUGUCAAAAUGGAGGAUAUAUUGAUGAGUCUCACUAUAACGGUAGAUGUCGCUGUCCAGUCGGCACGUGGGGCUAUCUUUG